AAAUUGAAGAGUUUGAUCAUGGCUCAGAUUGAACGCUGGCGGCAGGCCUAACACAUGCAAGUCGAACGGUAACAGGAAGCAGCUUGCUGCUUCGCUGACGAGUGGCGGACGGGUGAGUAAUGUCUGGGAAACUGCCUGAUGGAGGGGGAUAACUACUGGAAACGGUGGCUAAUACCGCAUAACGUCGCAAGACCAAAGAGGGGGACCUUCGGGCCUCUUGCCAUCAGAUGUGCCCAGAUGGGAUUAGCUUGUUGGUGAGGUAACGGCUCACCAAGGCGACGAUCCCUAGCUGGUCUGAGAGGAUGACCAGCCACACUGGAACUGAGACACGGUCCAGACUCCUACGGGAGGCAGCAGUGGGGAAUAUUGCACAAUGGGCGCAAGCCUGAUGCAGCCAUGCCGCGUGUAUGAAGAAGGCCUUCGGGUUGUAAAGUACUUUCAGCGGGGAGGAAGGUGUUGCGGUUAAUAACCGCAGCAAUUGACGUUACCCGCAGAAGAAGCACCGGCUAACUCCGUGCCAGCAGCCGCGGUAAUACGGAGGGUGCAAGCGUUAAUCGGAAUUACUGGGCGUAAAGCGCACGCAGGCG
This 587-nucleotide ribosomal RNA is filed under the name Salmonella enterica subsp. enterica serovar Infantis. RNAcentral describes it as "partial 16S ribosomal RNA". It matches the Rfam family "Bacterial small subunit ribosomal RNA", at positions 1 to 577 of the family's 1533-position model. Lineage: Bacteria; Pseudomonadati; Pseudomonadota; Gammaproteobacteria; Enterobacterales; Enterobacteriaceae. The record is from RNAcentral. RNAcentral also lists the same sequence under 1 other name.